GACAGAGGGUGCAAACGUUUGUUCGGAAUUACUGGGCGUAAAAGCGCGUGUAGGCGGCUAAGUAAGUCGGGCGUGAAAUCCCACGGCUCAACCGUGGAAGUGCACUCGAAACUGCAUAGCUAGAGUCCUGGAGAGGAAGGUGGAAUGCUUGGUGUAGAGGUGAAAUUCGUAGAUAUCGGGGAGGAACACCGGUGGCGAAGGCGGCGAUCUGGGGUCGAUACUGACGCUGAGGUGCGAAAAGCGUGGGGGAGCAAACAGG
This 259-nucleotide ribosomal RNA is filed under the name uncultured bacterium. RNAcentral describes it as "partial 16S ribosomal RNA". It matches the Rfam family "Bacterial small subunit ribosomal RNA", at positions 524 to 776 of the family's 1533-position model. The record is from RNAcentral.